Molecule: ribosomal RNA, 324 nt
Filed under: uncultured eukaryote
Lineage: Eukaryota
Description: partial 18S ribosomal RNA
Rfam family: Eukaryotic small subunit ribosomal RNA
Source: RNAcentral
CCCUUAGAUGUUCUGGGCCGCACGCGCGCUACACUGUUGCAUUCAACGAGCCUAUCCUUGGCCGAAAGGUCCGGGUAAUCUUGGAAACUGCAACGUGAUGGGGAUAGAUUAUUGCAAUUAUUAGUCUUCAACGAGGAAUGCCUAGUAAGCGUGAGUCAUCAGCUCGCGUUGAUUACGUCCCUGCCCUUUGUACACACCGCCCGUCGCUCCUACCGAUUGGGUGUGCUGGUGAAGUGUUCGGAUUGGUUUCAACUGAUGGCAACAUCGGUCGUUACUGAGAAGAACAUUAAACCCUCCCACCUAGAGGAAGGAGAAGUCGUAACA